This 784-nucleotide ribosomal RNA is filed under the name uncultured bacterium. RNAcentral's name for it is "bacterial SSU rRNA". It matches the Rfam family "Bacterial small subunit ribosomal RNA", at positions 62 to 891 of the family's 1533-position model. The record is from RNAcentral.
UCUAGGGGGUGUAGCAAUACACCACCGGCGGACGGGUGCGUAACACGUGGGAAUAUACCUUUCGGUACGGAACAACUGAGGGAAACUUCAGCUAAUACCGUAUACGUCCUAACGGAGAAAGAUUUAUCGCCGAAGGAUUAGCCCGCGCUCGAUUAGCUAGUUGGUGAGGUAAUGGCUCACCAAGGCUACGAUCGAUAGCUGUUCUGAGAGGAAGAUCAGCCACACUGGGACUGAGACACGGCCCAGACUCCUACGGGAGGCAGCAGUUGGGAAUCUUGGACAAUGGGGGAAACCCUGAUCCAGCCAUGCCGCGUGAGUGAUGAAGGCCUUCGGGUUGUAAAGCUCUUUUACCCGGGAAGAUAAUGACUGUACCGGGAGAAUAAGCUCCGGCUAACUUCGUGCCAGCAGCCGCGGUAAUACGAAGGGGGCUAGCGUUGUUCGGAAUUACUGGGCGUAAAGCGCGCGCAGGCGGUUUCUCAAGUCAGUGGUGAAAGCCCGGAGCUCAACUCCGGAACUGCCAUUGAAACUGUGAGACUUGAGGACGAGAGAGGUGAGUGGAAUUCCCAGUGUAGAGGUGAAAUUCGUAGAUAUUGGGAAGAACACCGGUGGCGAAGGCGGCUCACUGGCUCGUUUCUGACGCUCAGGCGCGACAGCGUGGGGAUCAAACAGGAUUAGAUACCCUGGUAGUCCACGCCGUAAACGAUGAACGCUAGCCGUUGGGUAGCUUGCUAUUCAGUGGCGCAGCUAACGCAUUAAGCGUUCCGCCUGGGGAGUACGGCCGCAA